CCCAGAUACAUAAAGAACUCCUACAAUGAGCAGAAGAUCUGCAGCAGGCAUUUCUCAGAGGAGAUCACAGGCACACAGAGAACGUGGGAAGAGAUGCUCACCUUCACUAGUGUACACGGAUGUGCACACUAAGAUCUCAGUGAGCUGUGAUCGGAUGCCCUCUAGACUGGUCAAAAGUAAGACAUCUGACAGCACCAAGGGCUUGAGUGGGUAUAGACCACCUGGGACACAUAAGCAGUGUUGAUGAGAGCGUCAACUGGUCACCACUUAGGAAAUCACACGGGCAUUUUCUUGUUAGGCUGACCAUUUACACACCUUCUAACCCUGCAAGCCCAGCCCUACGCAUUACAGAAGAUAUGUACAAGAUCUCCUAGCAGCAUUGUUAAUAACAGAAAAAAAUAAAAUGGAAAUGACCCAAAUACUCAUGGAUAGGAGAAUGCAAAAAUAAGCUGUGGAAUAGUCACAAUUUAUUUUCACACCGUUGAAAAUAAACUACAGCUACACAAGACAGCAUGGAUGAAGCUUAGAAACAGUAAAAUGUUGAGUAAAAAAUGCAAACCUUAGAAGUCUCUACAUAGUAUGCCAUUUUACAAAGCUCAAGAACAAACAAAACAAUAUACUGCUUGGACAUAUGCAGUAGACUUAUGAGCAAGAGAAUGACAAACACACACAACAUUCAGGACAGUGGUGACUUCCAAGGUACGACAAGAUGCAAACACACAGAUGCAAAUUAUUGAGAAGGUUCCAGUUCUGGAGUGAGUGGUGUGUUCACAGAUGCUCAUAAUUUUUUAUCUUUUAUAAUGUAUAAAACACAUUAAAUUUUUAAAAGAUACGAGCAAAGGAGAAAAAAGAGGAGGAACACAGUGUGGAUCCAGACAGAUCCAGUAUGAUGUCCCUGUCACACAGCUCACUGUUUUCACUUUGUGUCACGAUGGGUACCCAGAAGUCUGUGGAGAGGUCAGACUACGAGGCAGAAGGACUGGAAACUGGAUGAGGGCAUUCCCUCCCCUGGGCAUCAGUUUCUCCAUAUGCAAAAUAAGGGGAUUUACCAGGAAUGACAAAUGGCUGGCAUGUAUAGCAUAGAUCUCCCUUUCCUUACCCACUGCAGACAUUACUAAUGGAUUGCAGCACUCUGUCAUGCUGAGCACUUAUACAGCUUUGGAUUCCUUCUCAGCUUGGCACCGCAGGCUGCCAGGGAUGGUGGAUAAGAGAGAUGGCACACACGGUGAUACCUACUUGCUGACCUGGAGAGUCCAUCCAGCUCUGGGCUUGGAAUUUUGAAGCCAGGCCAGUAGGUACCAGUACUCUGAAAGGCAGUCCCUCUCAGGGAGCAGCCCGCUGGCCCUGGAGCCGGCCCUGGCCAGACCUUGGCAGGUGGAACCUCGGCUUUGACAGCGCCCACGCCCAUGGCUUCCAGUCUCCUGGAGCCCCCUGCUGCCCACCCACCAUCCCUCCAGGCCUCCGUGCUCCCACCUGCUGGGCAGGCUCACGUCUACCCCAUGCCGGUGGGCUUCGCUGACUUGACAACAGCUCGACUGGCACAGAGGGCCAGGCGGGAGCUCAUGUCACCAUCUACCCCAGAGGGCACUGGGAGUGCCCACUGUGCCUUAUCAACCAGCCUCCCCUGCAGAAGGACAGCAUUCCUCCCACCACCUUGCCUCCUCAGGCCUCCAGGCCUUUCUUUUUUUUUUUUUUUUGGAGGAAGAUUAGCCCUCAGCUAACUACUGCCAGUCCUCCUCUUUUUGCUGAGGAAGCCUGGCUCUGAGCUAACAUCCGUGCCCAUCUUCCUCUAGUUUAUACGUGGGACGCCUACCACAGCAUGGCUGCCAAGCAGUGCCAUGUCCGCACCCGGGAUCCGAACCAGCGAACCCCGGGCCGCCGAGAAGCGGAACGUGCGAACUUAACCGCUGCGCCACCGGGCCGGCCCCUGGCCUCCAGGCCUUUCGAGGCCCCCAUCUUCCCUCCACUCAGGGCCUCAGCUGGCAGGAGUCCCCCUUGUCCGCACUGCCCAGCUCCUUCCUCCCCAGCGGGGGUCAGCGUGCCCUCCUGCAGACAGCCACACCAGAGUUCAGCUUUCUCACGGAGAACGUAUGUCUGGGGCCAGGUUCUGUGGGUGUCUGUCCCCCACUUUGGGGAGCCCCUCAGAGACCACCUAAUGAUUGGCAUGAAAAUAAUAAUGCCAUCAGGAACAACAAAGAUUCCUUGGAGUCAGUGGACUUUUUGAAACACUCUCUUACUGUUGCACCAGUGUCACAGCCAGUGAAGUCCGCAGUGAGGGACACACUUCACUCCCAUGGUGACAACGAGAAAGUCAGGGCCACAAAGGGGAGAGACUUUCUAGCAUCACUGUCCACCUGCCCACCUCCUGGGAGGCCGGGAAAGCUUUUCUGCCACAUUCCAUCAGGGCCCUGAAACGCCCCGUCCUGCGUGGACACACCUUCCCUCCCCCAGGCCAGGGACUGCUGAGCGACCACAGUCCCAAGUCCCUGAGCAUCCUGCUCCUGCAGAUUAUUUCAGUAACGAGAUUGUAUCGAGGGACAUUAUAUCCAGUGACGUGGUGUUUCUGGCGAUUCAUCUCUCUUCCGUUUUAUUCAUCUUAUGCAAAUUUUAAAUGACUGCUGGGGCUGCGUGUGCAGGAAGUCUUGGUUCGCUAGAAGGAACUGUGGUGGGUUCUUAGAAGACAAGGAGAGGAACUUAAGGCAUCUUGCCGUCUCCAAGGAGCGGAGUGGAGACAAAGGCGUCUCUGACUGCUUCGUCCUGGAACAAAGCGCCAGCACGCACCCACAUGUGGCCCGGGGGACCCCUGAUCGGAGUCUGCCAUGGAUGCCCACUGUGUGGAAGGGCCUGGAACCUGCUAUGAUCAUCACUGUCCAUAGACUCUGAGGAGCAAACACCACGCGCCACUUUUCACUUGCAAAGGCCCAGAAACAAGAAUGCUUGUGUUCCCAGGAAUACAGAUGCCAGAUGUUCACUUCUGGUCCAAACUCAUCGUCUUUUGAGCCUUGGAAACUUUGGGCACACUGCUUCUACCUCUACCAUCUCCCACCACACUCCCCCAGCAAGUUCCCCACCUGGACAACUCCAAUGCCUCCUCAAAACCCGCUCUGAUGCCUCCUCCUCCAGGCAGUCUCCCUUGCCUUCCUUCCAGCCUCUUUCAUAUACUCUUAUUAUGCUCUUUUAUCCUGGCUGGAAUGAUCACAGUGGGUUCGAAUGCUGCUGCUUGCAUGUCUGUCUCCCCUACCAGGGGGUGGGUUUGUGGGAGCCGGGCUUAUGGCUGAUUCACCCCCGUCCCCUCCAGCCCCUCAGCACAGGCCCUGGCACAUAGUGAGGAUGGAGCAGAGCCUCAAAAAAGCAUGAGCCAAAUGCCUGAGCUCUGUCUUCACAGAACUUAGAGUUCAGUGAAAGAGAUCUAGUGACAAAGAAGGGGAAUUGAAGGUACUCUGAACACAGAUCAGGCAGUCCUUUCCUGAGUAGUUCACGUUUAAGCCGAGAUCUCACUGGUGAGUAAAUAUAAACCAGGCAGAAAUAGGCAUAAGCAACUUUCCGAAGAGAGAGAGUAACAGACCACGUUCCAAGGUGGGAGGGAGCGGCUCCUGUAAGUACUGAAAGCCUCCAGCGGAGAGACAGGGCAGUGAGGGAGAGCUUGUGGGCCAUGGGUACCAGUGAGGGGAGGCUGGAUUAUGCUGAGAACAAAUGAGUCCCCAGAUCUCAGGGGCCCACAGUCGGGUCUGUCUAUCUCUCGCGCUACGUGUCCACAUGGUUCUACUGCUUGUCGCCUUCCCUCUGGACUCAGGCUGUGGGACAGUCUGUCUGCAAUAUCGCCAUUGCCCCAGGAGAAGGAGAAGAAGUGACAAAGCGCACACCGGCUCUUUGCCGUUCCUCAGCCCCCUUGCCGUGCCCGAGAGCAACAAGGAGCAGGGCCGCCUAAUCCUCCAGCUGGGAGGAACCACAACAAGGGCACUGAGGGUGGCGAGCCAUCAUCCAGUUCCACACCACGCUUAUGAUUCUGAUGAUUAUCCUAGGAGCCAGGGAAAGCCACAGAAUACAUUCUCUAUUGGUAGCAAGUCACUCUGGCUGCAGCAAGGAGAACAACCCAUUGGAAAUGGGCAAGAGUGGAUUUGGGGAGAAAGAUUGGGAGGCCAUUUCAAUUCUCCAGGCCAAAAAAAGGACAAUCCUUUACUAGGGUCAUGGCAGUGGAAACGGGGAGAAACCAACAGAUUAAAAAGAUAGGAGGAUUGAGUGAUGUGCAAAGGGAAGCAGAGAGGAGUGGCUAGGUGGCCCCAGGGUCAGGGAAAGAACAGAGCAGGCUUGGUUCCUCAUGCCUUACCAGCCGCUGGCUCUGGUCACUUGGGAAGAGGAGUUAGCCUAUUCGCUGUUUGUUCUGGGGUUCCCUGUGUUCUCCUAAUAAAUCUCCCCCUCUUGCUUAGGAAAAAAUGCAUGAGCUAAAUAAAGGAGGGAACAAAUGGAUUAAUAAGGCAAUGAGCUCUGAGUGAACUGACAAAUGAGUGACAGAGUGACCAGGGGAAUUCAUUCAUGUCCCCAGAUGUUCAAAGGAUGAAGAGAACCUGGACUCAACCAGAAGAAAAAGGAAGUCAUCUCCGCUGGGCAUGCCUCAGAGGGCCCCCCCCCCCCCAUACCUCAGGGUCUCCACUCCUCCAGGGAGAUGACCAGUUUCAGCUGCGACAGAGAAAAGAGGGGUGGGCUGGGGGGAGAGGGGAGGGACAGGGAGGAGGGCGAUGGGCGGGUCCGUGGGAGCUCGGCAUCAUCCUCUCCUCCGUCCAUGUGGCCUCCCUGCGUUUCCCUUUCAGAGUCCACAGCUUGACCAUCCGUGGUGGACAGGCUUGGGAGUCACCAACAGCCCAAGAGAGAUUUUCUGUCUCAGCGGCAGCACUGGGUAACCUCACAGAAACUCAGAGCCCAGGGUUCUCACAGGCUUAGAAGGCCCAGAUCCCCUUCUGCCCUGGGCCCCCUUGACAGCCACAAAGGGGAAGGAUUUCGAGGCGCAGCUGCGGGACCAUGGCCUUUUCUCAGCCCAGCCCGCCUUUGGAGCAUCGUGGUCACUGUCCGUGACACUCAUGGCUUGACUCAGAGCAGGAGACACGCUCUAAGACCGAACCACAGUGUGUCAGAGCUGAGGGGGCUCCAGGACCUCAUUUUCCCCAGCACCUUGCUUUGCAGAGGAGAAAGCAGAAGCCCAGAGAGGGGAAAGAAUUCCCUCAGGCCACACAGUGAGGGGCAGAGAGGGACUGGAAGCUAGCCUUUGGACAAAACUCACUGCCUUUGGAAGGCUCCUGGGUGAUGCUCCCUUCCCGGCACAACUAACAGGCCUGAACACUCAGAGUGGCACACAGAAGGUGCUCAGUGGACAUUUGUGGACUAAAUGAUUAUAAUGGGACAAAAAAAGCAGGCCAUGAAACUGGGAGUGGACCUCAAAUCCUGUCUUCCAACAGCAAGUCCUGCUCCUCUUUGGUAUGGGUGAAGUGGGGCUGGGAAAGGAGGCGGGGCGGGGGGAAGCAGUGCGGGCACAAAUCCUUUGUAAAGAGAAAAUAAUGGGGUGUGGGAAGCCCAUAGGAGCAGGCUCAACCCAGAAAUCAGGUACAGACGAGAGUGGCAGUUGGACACUGGCCUCGCUCCAUCUCCCACGUAGGGAAUGGGGAGCAGUUAGGGUUAGAAUCUUGGGGGAAGAGAAAUUCUUUUUCUGUUGGGCUGCUGAGGGGCGAUGAGCCCAGCCUGUAACUGUUGGUGGCUAUCUUGCUUUCAUCAACAGAAAGCCCACCUGAGAAGGACACCAGCACAGAGGGGAGUGAGCCAGGCCGAGAGGCUGGGAGAAGCUAUUCCUGCUGAUGGCAUCAAGCACCCAGGUACAGCCUUACCUGAAGCUAUCUGCCUUUAGACUUCUUCAUUACAUAAAUCAUUCUCUCCUGCUUCAUUUGCUUUUUUAAGCCACUUUGGGUUUUCUGUCACUGGCUAUCAAAAAAAUUCUGAGGGCUGGCCCAGUGGCAUAGCAGUUAAGUUUCCUGCACUCUACUUCAGAAGUCUAGGGUUCACGGGUUUGGAUCCCAGGUGGUGUUCCACAUACAAAAUAGAGGAAGAUUGGCACAGAGGUUAGCUCGGGGACAAUCUUCCUCAAGCAAAAAGAGGAAGAUUGGCCACGGAUGUUCAUUCGUGGCCAAUCUUCCUCAUCAAAAAAUAAAAAAUCUGACUGUUCCUUCCAGCUGGCUAAAUGGCGCACUGUGGAACAGCAACAAUAUUGAGGAUUUAGGCUAGCUUCAAGGAAAAACUUCCAGAUAACAGUGCAAUCUAACCUGGAGAUCCAAAUGGACUCAAACAAUAUCUGUUGGGGGCCUGCUACAGGCUGGGCCACUCACAUUACCCAAAUUAAUCCUGAUUUUAGAGGACAAGAUUGAGGCUCAGAGAAGGGAGGUAACUGGCUAUAGCGAGGAAAGUGGGGCUGAGGCACCCGGCACCACAUGCGGUGUACAGCGAGGGCCUGAGGCUGGUAACUGCCAUGUGGCCGUCAGGAGACUCACAGAGGCAGUUCGCACUGAAGAGAGGAAGGGAACCUCCGCUCACUGGCACCACCACCCCUCCCAGCUCCCCCAGGGCCGGCAUGCCUCUCUCUCGCUUUGCUUGGCAGAGUCAUGCUCAUGUGACCACAAGGGCCAGGGUCUGGAGCUGCUACAGGGGAGGCCAGGAGCCUGAGGCCCCCACCCUACCUGGGAACACCUCCUUCCUUUGGGCCUUGGGGGGCCCUAUUCCCCACUUGCACACCAGAUGUCUUUUCCAGAACAUGCAGAGAACCUCGCUCAUUCUGAAACAGGAGGUAUCUAUCACUGCCCUUUCCAUGUCUCCCCGAAACGUAGCUCGUGCCCUCCUUUCCUUGCAUCGUGGCCUCCCGGGGCUGUCGCUGACGGUCAAUCAACUGCUCAGCACUUGAAGGCCCCUGUGAGGCAAGAGCUGCCCGCUGGGAAGCUCACACACCAGCUGAAGGGGCCGUUGAGGUCCCUGAGGGCCGGAACCAGUGCUCGGGCUAAGGUGACCCAAAACACUUCUUAAUGGCUGGGGGCUCCUGGCCAUGGUAGGGGUGCGAGGUCCCUGCAGUGUCUGAGGGCCCACUGUGUGCAGGUUCAGGGUGUACAGAGGAGAAAGGGCGGAUGCCGGCCCCAGAGGAGUUCACAAACCAAAUAUGGGUGAGCCAGCCAGGCAGACAGAGAACCAUAGCUCAUGGGCUGUUUUCAUAGGGGAAGGGUGGGGGUCGGGGCAGAGACCCAUGUCUACUGGGGAACUAGUUAAAGUCAGGGAAUUUUUUUUUUUUUUGAGGAAGAUUAGCCCUGAGCUAACUGCUGCCAAUCCUCCUCUUUUUGCUGAGGAAGACUGGCCCUGAGCUAACAUCCACGCUCAUCUUCCUCUACUUUAUAUAUGGGACGCCUGCCACAGCAUGGCUUGACAAGCGGUGCCAUGUCCGCAGCCAGGAUCCGAACUGGCGAACCCUGGGCUGCCAAAGCAGAACAUGUGAACUUAACCAUUGUGCCACCAGGCGGGCCCCAGGACAGGAAAUUUUUAACUGAGAUUUGAAAGCUGUACCAGUUAGAUGUGUAUUUGCCUAAAGUAACAGAAAACUCUACUAAGAGUGACUUAAACUGCAAAGGCAUCUAAUGUUUAAUGUUUAAAGAUGAUGUGAGAGAUGGGAAGCACACGCAGAGGCACGGAAGCACAGAGGCACAGCACAUGCAGAGGCGCAGAAACACAGAGGCACAGCACACGCAGAGGCUCAGUGUGCAGAGGCACAGCACACAGGGAGGCACAGAGUUGCGGCACACACAGCAGCACAGAGGUGCAGAGGCACAGCACACUUAUAGGCACACAGGUGCAGAGGUGCAGCAUACUCAGGAGCACAGAGGUGUAGACGCAGCACACACAGUGGCUCAGAGGCACAGAGGCACAGAGGUGCCAAGGUGCAGAGGCACAGAGGCACAGGACACGCAGAGGCCCAGAGGCCCAGAAGCACAGUGUGCAGAGGUACAGCACACAUAGAGGCACCGAGGCGCAGCCCACACAGAGGUGCAGAUGCACCGAGGCGCAGCACACACAGAGGCGUGGAGGCACAGAGGUGCAGAGAUGCAGAGGCACAGAGGCCCAGUGUGCAGACGCACAGAGGUGCGGAGGCACAGAAGCAUAGAGCCACAGCACACACAGAGGCACCGAGGUGCAGAGUGCAGGAAAUGAGCUGGCACAUGGGAUUACUGGUGGUUCAUGACCACAUCAGCACGGCAGGGGUGGGGAAAAGUGGGCAGGGCCUUGUAUUAUGUUUUAUGCCUGGAGCGCAGUGGGCCCUGGGCAAUAGGGAGCUACGAACAGACGCUGAGGAGAGAGUGAGGGCAGGCGCAGACAGGAAACUGCAGGUGUGCAGAGGCCCCUGGACUUUAGGAACUGAGCAGAGCCAUUCUGUGACUGGCAAUAAUGUUGCUAAUAAACCCUGGAGGCCUCUGUUCAAAAAGAUGAUGAUAAUUGACAAGAGAGAGUAAACACAACCUUGAUUCAUGAAUUUGCUGAUGGCAGUCCCCCGUUUCUGGAUAUGAGAACGCACACACGCAGCCUGGUGCUUUAGACAGCAAGGUCAUCACAGUUGUGACACCCACAGCUCACCUCUCCCAUCUGCCCUGGGCUGUUGCACUCCCCCAGGACCCGUGAACAAACAUAGCACAGGUGUUGUAAUUUACACAGGACACCCCCAACUCCGAUGGUGAGGAUGACUGUGUCCCAGCUUACAGAGGAGCAAACAGAGGCUGGAAGUAGCUCAGGGGCUUGCUGGUGACUGGUGGGGGUGGCAUUUGAACCCAGAGCCUGUCUUUCCCAGUCCACCGAGCUGCUUUAUGACUUCAGAGCCAGGAUGUUUGCUAACCCCGAGGGGGCUCGGAACUCCUGCUCACCCCAGCACUCCCCAGGAGGUGGGCGGGGAGGCAGUGGAGGUCUCUUCCCUCUGCAACACUCUCCCACAGGACCCCACAGACCUGUCCUUCAUUAUGACCCAGGGCCUUUGGGGCCGAGCACGAGGAACGCCCUGCACCUGCGGGGACCACAGUCCAUGGGGUGACACGUGGGCAGGUGUGCUGGGGGUGAGGCCUCACAGUCUGGCCCAUGACUGAGAGGACAGCACCCUGGUUAAGGCCCCCUAGGUCCACACACUCACAUCCUGGAACUGAGGGGGGCCUGGGGCUUCAGUUGGCCAAUUCUGGCCUUUAAAGGGCAAACUGUGAUCAUCCAGGAGGCUGAUUUCAUUGAUUAGAUUACACAUUUACAACCCAAUGGCCAAGCCCCUUUCCCUGUUCCCUUGUAGCCCUCAGCCUCUCAGCUUUUAUUUCUCUCCGGGACCAAGUUCUUAGCUUCAAAUUGAGUCCCAUUAUGAGCAGAAAUACUGUUCCCUUCAUGUGUCAGCGUCAGUAUAGAGGCCCUCCCAUCCCCUCCCUCCCUCCCCGGGUUGCCGCCUCUGCACUGGGGGAGCCAGGCUGUUUACUGCCGCUCUGCAGAUGUCGGCACGAAGGAUUUAGGAGGAGGCUGGGAGGGGGCUGUCGGCAUGGCAGGGUGAGGGGUCUGGUGACAAUUCACCUGUGAAACCUCAGGCGGCUGGAGGGUCGGGCAGCAGGGAGUGCCACAGCCAAGGGCCCCGCAGGUUCAGAAUAAGUCAAUUAAACGUGUCAACCCAGCCUCCUCUGGGAGGCUGGGCCCUGGAGCACGACUGUCAGUGUGAAAGCAGAGGGUCCCGUGUGCCCGGACCCGCCAUCCAGAGAGCAGGGGUUGAGAGGUGAGCACUUUGAAACCAGGACACUGGGGUGCAAACCCAGCUCCAUCACUUGCUUAGUUACCAAGGCAGAACGGGCCUCAGCUUUCUCACCUGUAAAGUGGGCAUCUUGGAGUCUCUCCCUCCUGGGGGUGGGGGUUAAAUGAGGUGCAGGGAGGGCCUGGGAGCGGGCUGGGCUGAGCGCUGCCCCCAGGCACGCUGUCGGUGCUGUUGUGAGGACCGUCUUCUGGGGCAGGGCUGGCACGCUUUUUCUGUAAAGGGCCAGGGAGUAAAUAUUUUAGGCUUUGAGGGACCUGUGGUCUCUGUCACAACUGCUGGACUGCGGUUGUAGUGCAAAAGCAUCGUCGACAAUGGGCAGUCCAGGCUCUCAACCUGCUUUCCAGGUGAGGGCUCCGGGCCCAGGGAGUCCCUGUCUUACACACUCGCAUUUCAGUAGUGGGCGGGCUGCAUUCUGAUAAAAUUGCAGCUGCCCAAGGAUGGCUAACCCUGUUCUAGGAGGCUGGCUAGGAGAAAGGGGAGGUGGUAGGGGCAUGAUUCCCCUGAAGUCAGGGGGCAGAUGGUCAUGUGCUCUGGAAUCCACAUCUCCCAGCCCCAAAGUGGUGGGCAAUUUUUAAAUCCUGCCCCUGAGGGGACUUGCAGCUGAAACAGGAGAGUAGUGGGCUCUGCACCUUGUUGGAACGACCUGGAAACCGAGUCGUAUGGAACAAGGAAUUCUGCCAAGUCACAGAAGCUCAGGGCAGACUUCCUGGGACACUGUGACUUGCCCCUCCUCACUGUCACUGGUGAGGGAAAGGCCUCAGGCAGGGGUCUGGGGGACCUGUUGGAUUACACUUGCCACCCUUAUCAAGGAGCAAGUCUAGUUGACAUGGUCACAUGGGUUGUGCUGUGCUGUUGAGGACUCGUUUUUGCCCUUUGAAUGAGGAUGUCCUGUGUGCCAAACACAGAACCCUAUGAGUCAGGUCUGGAAAGCUGGGCACAGAGAGGUUAGGGAAAGCUUCCAGGUCACACAGCGGGUAGGGGCAGAGCUGGGGUCUGAUGCAGACCUGAUGCACAGGCCCACACCCUCUCUACUUUCCCAGGAGCCAUCUGGAUUCCACAUGUCAGUGUCCCUCAGAGGGGUGCUAGGUAUCAGCACUGAUAUCCUUGUCCUAACAAACCAGGAUGCCAUCAAAGGGAAGACAGAGACAUUUGCUGUGUGCCUGCAGGGCCAGCUCGUUCACACACCCUGUCCACAGCACCCAGAAGGCUGCUCCCAACUGGCCCGGAGCACAUGCUCAGGUGGCUUCCUCCUGGCUUCCUCCUGGGCUGAGUCACUGAGUCCUCCAUGCUCAGUUCUCCUGUCUGUGUGGGCUGGAAUCAGCAGCUACUUCCUGGGGGCUCCAGGAGGGUUAAACAAGCUAAUACGUACAAAAUCCUUGAGGCCGUGGCCAGCACACGGGGCACACUGGGGGUCAGCUGCACCAGUCUUAUCCUUUCCUCUCCCCUUUGCUGGACGAGGAGACCCAGUGGGGGCAGGGCUUGUCCAAGUUCUCACCACUGCCCAACCGGGGGUGAUGCCCAGAUUGGACUCCAUCCUCUGCCCCUCCUGAGUGUCUUCAUUCCCAUGCCUCGGCUGCUUGGACACUCAGCGAGGCAGGCCCCACUUCCUGAGGCCUCUGUGUCUCUGCCCUGCCCACCCGGCGUCUCCCCCAGGGGUCAUCCCAGCGCCUCUGGCCCUAGGCCCCCAUACCCUGGGUCUGCCAUGCUGGGUGUGAGCAGAGUGAUGGACAUGCACCGCUGCCUCCUGGACAGUCUGAGGGUGCUCAGCAUGCCAGUACCGUCCGCGGCCCAGAGAGCCUGAGGUGGGGCACGAGGUCUGAGUCUUCAGUAACGCACUAAUUUAAUUCAUUCAACAAUUCUCAGCACCUCCUUUGCUAGGUGGUUACUGGGGAUGGAGAGACGAGGUGAACACAGGCUAGCCGGGCAGAAAGCGGUCCCAUGGACAUUCAAGGUGCAGCAUGAGGAGGGAGUAACCAAGCGCUGACCUCAGAACCACUCUUGGCCUCUGUUUUCUCAUCUUUAGAACGGGGACAGCAAAACCUACAUUACAUGGCUGUCGUUGAAGGGAGUGGCAGCCUGAUCCACUGCCAGACCCUAUCCUAAGCACUUGAAAAACAUGAACUCACUUGAUCCACAUGAAAAUUCUAGGACAUAGGUACUGCUAUCAUCACCCCUUUUUGCAGUUGAGGAAACCGAGGCUCGGAGAGGUGAGGUAAAUGCCUCGGAUCACAGAGCCCAGGCCGUCCUGCUCCAUUGCCCAGCUCUUGGUCAGUGCCUGCAUGGGCUGUCCAGGGCCUCCCUUCACCCUUCACUGGGACCCACAGCUGCAGCCUUACAUCAGUGAGAUCAUUCAUAGGGGGCGAGGUGGGGGCACCAUGGGCAGGUUUUCUCCAAGCACUGCUUUGCCACCAGACCGGCAGCUUAAGGGGCUGUGUUGUAUUUGCUGCUGGAUACCCAGACCUAAGGCCAGGCCAGUGGGGGGCAGCAGCAGAGGGGGACCUGCAGGGACAAGAGCAUUGAGAGUCUGGACUCUACCUUGGGCAGCCGCUCCUGAGCCCACCCCUGGCCAGGCAUCUUAAACCAAGAGCCUCAAGCCAGGGCCCAGGGACAAAUCUGGAUUUUAAAAGUUAAUUAUAACAUUUAAAAACUGGAAGAUUACAGAUGGAAUUCCAGCUGUCUAGCUUUUUUUUUUUUUUUUUUGUAUGAAAUGAGAAAAUCUGGCCACCUGUGAUAGUCCCUCAAGGCGACACUCUUCUGGAGCUGAGCUGGAGCCGUGCUCUGGACAGAGCUUGUGUCCCCAGCUUGCCACAGUCCCUGCGGCUCCCUAAGCUUCCCCUUGGCCCAGGACUCCCACCCCCACCCUGCCUCCCCAGGCCUGACCCCUGGAGGCAUCUGAGUUCGCGGUCCUCCCGUUAGCCCCACUUCUUCACCUGGGACUUGAGGACCACAGCAGCAUCCAGCCUGGGCACACCGGUUAGAUGAACUGGGAAUGCAGCCCUCAAGGCAGGGGUUCAUCGCCUGCCCUCCAAAGGCAGCCGAGAAGGGGUGUGGGUGGGUGAGGCCCGGGACCAGGGGCUCGGGGAAGUGUCCCCAAGGAAUGCUAUGUCUUCUGACUCCAAAGCCACAUUCUAACUUCCUGCCCGUCUCCCACUCUCUCAUGCAUUGCUGCAGCCAGGCAUUCUGCAAACCCUGGGCAUGCUGGGGAUCACGACCCCGAGGUCAGCAACAAGGGCACCAGCAACAGGCACCCAUCCAACGUGCCGUCUCCAGCAGCUCAGAGAGCACAGUGCCAUUGUGAGGCGGCCACUGUCAGACCCAUUUAUAGUGAGAAACUGAGCCUCUAAAGGGACAAGGGACUUAUGCAAGGUCACACGGAUUUGGAAGGCUUAGAAGCUAGGUCUGCCGGUCUCUCACACAAGGAGACAGGUCAGCCUCAGGCAAUGACAAUCAGAUGACCUAAGCAUAGAGCGUGCUGCCUGUGUCAUGGUGAGGGCCAUGGUACUGGACAGGCGGGCUCAGGAACAAAUGCCCCAGAAGGGCAGAGUCUUGCAGGGUGAGGGCACUGCUGUCUGGGGAGUAGAGGAAAGGCACUCCUGCUGGAGGACCAGCUCGUGCAAAGGCCUGGAGGUGCUGCAGUGUGAGAAACAUGGCUUGUAUGUGACAGAGGGGGACACUGGAAGCCACUGCUCUCACAUGUGGAAGCCCCUGGACUCCUCCUCCCAGCUUGACCCCAGCCCUGGCAGCUCUGCCUCAUCUAUCUCUCUGUCCCCCACUCGUCCUGCUGCCCUCGCGAGGCCCAGCCUCUGAGUCUGCUCAUCCUCAACAUCCUGCACUUUCCAUAUUAUCCUGUAUUGGCUCAGACACAAAGGAUGGAUUCCCUUCCUUGAAGUGAUAAUUAAGUUUCUCAUUACAGAAGGAUACCCUCACGACAUGUCUUCAAAGUUUUAAAAAACUUAAAAUUGAAAAGAAAAUCCAGACUGUUAAUGGUCUAAAUGAGCACAGGGUGAGAGAAGGUCCCUCAGGUUCCUGGUAAUGAAGGAGCCCUGGUCCCGGAGGGAGAGGAGGAGGGGCUGAACUUGACCCCCAUGCGGCCUGUGGGUAAUCCUUUCGUGUGUUCAGGGUUUCACCCGCCAUCACGUUUUUCGGAGCCCCUUUCUGCAUCUGGCCCAGGUCCCUCCCAGAGCUCAGGGGCUGGAGAGGUCAUCAGAGUGUGAUCACAGCACUGGGGCAUCCCAGGUGAGGCCUGAGGGGGUGGGAAUUAAGAAUUGCUUCAUGGAGGAGGUGGCAUCUGUGCUGGUCCUCCAAGGACGAGCCAUCAUCUAGCCACGCCCUGGCACCGAGUAGGAGCCAAAUACGUAAACGAAUGAGUGAGCAAAUGAAUGAAUAGGCACCCACCUAACAGACAGAAGGAGGGGCAGCCAGCCCAAGCCAAGAUGUGAAACUCAGGGCCCCCUGGGGAAUGUGGGGAAGGGCUGCCAUGGGGUGCCCGCCUCACCCCCUUUUUGGCUGUCCUGCCGCCAAAUUGCCGUGCUCUGGCCGCUCGGGAGCCCUGGUCUGCCCUAUAAUCUGGGAGUCUGCUUGUCAUUCCCAGCCGCUCCCACAGGUGUCACCUCCGUGUCCCCGUGUGUAAGUGGACCAGCCUCUUGGGGGUUUGUGAAGAGGGGGAGGACGGUGUGCAGCCCCAGGCUGAAGACAGGAGGGAGAGGAUGGCGGGGUUCCCAGGGAGGUGGAUCCAGGGGGUGGGGCGCAUCUGCGUGGCAGGGUGGGCAGGAGCCUUUCCUGGGGCAGAAGAGCCCGCUGGUGAGGUCUCCCUCACCAAGAGGGGCUUCGUGGAGAGGAGGCAAUCGUGGAGCAAGGGCUGAACUCAGUCUGGGACACACUGACUUCAAGAAGCUCAGGGGACACCCAGACAGAGAAGUGUAUGAAAUGUUGGAUGUGGAGGUGAAAGUGUGACAGAGGGUCUGGGUCAGAGCUUGAGACCCACAUGAGAUGAGGCAGAGGGGCAAUGGAAGGGGCUGGAGGAUCUUGAAGAUGUUCAGUAACUGGGGUCAUCAAGGUGGAGACUGCUGUGUUGAUUUCACAGCCUCCUGGUGCCUAACACAGCUGGGCCCAGGGAGGCCAUUCAAUAAACAUGUACUGACUUGACCCAAAUUAGCCCGAUUCUACUUUAAAUCAUAGAAUAGAACAGAAUUUGCUGAACUCAGGUUAACUAGCUUGAAAGGUGAAACCAAGGAUUACAAACAAAAAUGAAAUACAGACUCAAGACAAAACUAAGAAUUCACAUUAAUAACUAAGACUCUCAAACGGGCAGCCCACUGUGGCCUUGGGGCCUUUGCACUUGCUGGUCUCGCAGCCUGGAACACUCUACCCUCUGCAUUGCUUGCUCCCUAAACAUCUUCGGGAAUUUGCUCAAACAUCUUUCCUGAUUUUAUUUUUCUCCAGGGUAAAUAUCACCACCUGAACUUGCAUAUAUUUUAUUUAUUUUUCCUUUGUCUCCCCAAUUAGGCUGUCAGCUAUACGAGAAUGGAGACCUCUGCCUGCUUCUCCAGCUGCUGUGCCCUGUGUCUCGAGCCAGCCAAGCAGGCAGCAGGGCCUCAGUGACAUGCCCUGAGCAAGUGAACACUGCAGACCACAAACAAGCACAUUUCCGGGAGUGCUAAGCGUUGUCGUCUCAUUCGCUGUUUAUGGAGCCCCUCUCUGUGUCCGGCCCUGACCUUGGCUUGAGGCACGGACUCAGCGAAGGAGACAAACUCUGCUGCCCCCAUGGAGCCGACAUUGCAGACGGGGACAAAGAGUGAGCAGAGCACAGCAGGUCAGAAGGUGGAAAUGCUGCAGAGGAAGAGCAGGGCUCGGGGAUCGGGGAUCGGGGGGAGGACAGUGGUGGGAGGACAGAGAGAGGCGGAGGCCCAGAUGGAGCAGGGCCUGGGGGCCCCUGUGAGGACUUUCCCCCCGGGUGGGGAGAGGCAGGGCGGGGUGCUGAGCAGGGGGCCGGGCCCUGAACGCCACGAGGGGAAUGAAGUGGGUGAUGGUAGGGAGACUGGGCUGGGGAGGCUGUCUCUGUAGAUGGAGUAGGCAGGGAAGGCUCCUCUGAGGAGGUGACAUUUGAGCUGAGCCCUCGUAUGGACCAUGUUUCUAGCUUCUGUAAACCUGAUGCUUUAACAUCUGUCCUGCAUGCAAACGUGAGACAUGCCUUGUUCUGAAUCCCCUCGACUUGGCCUCCUGCUUCCCUGGUUGCCCACUUCUCCCACCCCCAGGAAGAAGCCUCCUUCAUGGGCCCACUCUUCAAAUACACACCAACCAAUCCAGUGUCCAUCCACACCCCAACCACCUCCUCUAUUGGACACUCAUACUCUGGGCCACUGUCCCCCUGCCCUUAUCACCCAGGGCAGGUACCAGACAACUGGGACAGACCCUGUACCCCAGAGCCUGUGAAAUUAUUCAGACCAGCCAGUCCUAAGCCUGCUCAGCCUGCCUCAUUGUUCCUUCCUGCAGAGACCACAGUAAAGGCUCCUGCCCACACUUCCCCUGCUCCCUGUGCCUCCUGACCACCCCCGUGUGGCCCUCUGUGCCCACUCCUCUGGGAACUGUAAGAAACUAUCUUUUCAAUGGUAUGGUCUCCUGAUCUGUUGGCCUUACUGAAUCUCAAAUUUUCCAUUAAUACAUUCUAUUUUGAACCAGCCCUACAAGACACUUUGCAGACACUUAGUGUAAACACACGAAGAACAAAUGAACUAUGUAUCCUUUUACAGUAUCUUCAACAAGUUUAAUAUUUUAAUAUUUUAACAUACAUUAGAGUUCCUUUUCCCCAUAAAAUUGGAGGGUCCGAAAGAGUGGAGGGCUUAUCAGAAAUUACAAGAACAAGGCCAGACCCCUGGGCAGUCCUGAAUAUCUGUGUCCCCAGACUGAGGGCUCAGGCUUGACCGAGUCCCAGUCUCUGCCCUCACACUGUGCCUGGAAUUUGGUUGGUUUUUCAAAUUCAGCUUUUAAACUUGUCAGCUUAGCAGGGCACUCGUCAUUCCCAAACUCAUCUUUCUAGCAAUAAUCAAGUUACACCACAUGUGAGAUGGCCUUUUCCCUGAGUUAUUUAAUGAGAAUCUGCAGAUAUUAGCAGGGAAAGAGUCAGCCCGGCCUGUUUCAGGACAAGGUGUGUCUUUGGGAGAGAGUAGAGGUGGACAGUGUGGGAGGACAGAACAAGAGGAUGCCCUGGGCGAUACCAGCUCCAGACUUGUUUACUUGGGGGCAUCAACCUUCGUGAAUUAAAUUUCCAGAGAACCACCCAGAGAAGGGAGUGGGUUGGAGCUACACUUCACUGUCACCCCAUGGAAAGGAGGGCUGAGCACUUCAGACAGCUGUGGCCCUGGGAGAAGCCUGACCCAAGGGAACCACUCAGAAAGUCCCCUCCGAGACUAUUGUCCUGGACAGGAUAAGGUUCAGCUGCUGUAGUAAAGUGCCCCCCCCCGCAGGAGAGUGGCACGCAGAAGUUGGCAUCUCUCCCAGGCUCAGUCUGGAGGCAGACAGUCCAGGGCUGGCCUGGCAGGGCUGCUCUAGGAGGCCCCUCUCCCUGUUGCCCUGUCAUCCCAGAGGAGUUGCCCUCACCAAUGUGGGUCAGGAUGGAGCUCCAGCCUCAGAGCUCAUGCUCCCAGCAGCAGGACAGAGGGAGAAGCAGAAAGAAGGGCUGGCUUCUCCCUCCUAGGAAAUAUCCUAGAAGCCACACAAAUUGCUUCCCUCCCCAUCCUGAAGGGAGAGCUUGGUUAUACACCCAGCCUAACUGCAGAGGAGGCUGGGAACUCUGUAGUCUUGGGUGGCCACAUGCUCAGCUAAAAGUCAGGUGUUCGGUUGCUCUGAGAAGUGGACACUGCUAUUGGGAGGCACCUGGACCUCUCUGCCACACCCCUUUUAAUGUUUCCUCUCACCGCCUGACCACUCCCUACCCUGAGUUCACGUUUUAUGAAAAAGUAUCCAUCAGACAAAUUGCAUUAAGUAAUUCAUAAUUCAGGAACCAGCUGAAAAUCAUGGGCCGGUGGGUUCUUUUCAUUAGAUUUCCUUAGAUUCAUUAGAUUAGCCAGAUUUGCUGGUAAACCGCUGGUGGGACGCCAUUACCAACUCCGAGGUUCUCUCCCACCCAGAGCCCACGGUGUGCACGCAGCCAGGAGCGUCUUCUCCAAUGGAAGCCGAUCGUGUCACUCCCUGCUCUUGGAUCCCCUGCUCCUUAGAACAAAACCCAAAGGCCUUCCUGUGGAACUGAGCUUGGACUAAUGAGGGAGAUCAGAGACAGCCACUGGCCCAGCCAGUCAAGGCCCACAGCUCACACAAGAGGAGAAAGUCUCACUAGCAGAGCAUUCUGUUACCGGAGCUGACAGCUUUCCAGGCCACGAGCUGCGGGAUAUUUAAGUUUGGAGACGCAGACCAAAAUGCACCAGUGAGAAGUGGUCCCAGAAACAAGGGGUGCUGCUCCAAACCCCCACUCCCCAGCCUCAUUCCCCACCUCUGUCUUGUAUGUGCCUAACACUCCAGCUUCCUUCUGUCUGGGAUGCCUCCUCUCCAUAUCUUGUGGUCAGAGCCGUGCAUCAAGGCCCCGCUAGAUGCCACCUCCUUCAAGACGCUGUCCCGAUACUGGCAGCAGCAGGUGAGCGUGUGCUGUGCUGUGACUGUCCUUCCUUUGUACCGGUGCACAGGUGACUGUACCGUAGUUAGGUCCCUGUCUUGUCUUCCCAGCUGGACUGUGCCCUUCGGGCAGGACCUGUGUCUGAUUCAUCUCUGGGAGCCCAAUGGAGUUUGGCCAAGUGCCCGGCAUUUCGGCUUCCCAGAGAGGAAACCUCAUGGGCAGAGUAUCUGGGGGAAACUGAACAAUUCACUAUGAGUAAAGUGCAAGGAAUGGAUGCUAGUGAAAAGCUCUGCAGGGGGACAGGUCAUAGAGGGUCCCGAAAGCCCACUAAGGCACUGGGACUCUCCCUGAAGGGAAUGAGAGCCAUGGACAGAUCUCAAGGAGAACAACACUCACUGACCACACAUCGGGUUGUUUGGCGUAAAGAAAACCAAAACAGGGGACAUGAAGGGGGAGCGACAAGACUCCCAGCCUGUCCCUAGCCCUCCUCUUACUUCCCCUGGCCCUGCUCUCAGUGUGCGAAGGAAAAUCUUCUCUGACUGGUCAGAUGCUGGGACUGUCCCUGGGCAGUCUCGAGAGCAUGCAGAAAGACUCUGCACAUAGUGCCACCCAGCCUCACGAGAAACAGCCAGGGGCCUCCUGGACAUUCCUCAGCUUCUUAGGAGCCCAUGCAGAAGCUCCCUGAUAGACAUCUGAAACGAUAAAUUCACCGCCUAAAAUGGAAAUACCAGGGAAAGCCCUGGGCACCUGGAACUUGCCUUUUAGAAGCCACCUUUCCGCCAUCCCCUCCAUCUCUCUGGGCUGCUGUCUCUUACCAUGAAUCCUCCUCUACCCCCCAGGAUGUCUGGCUUCCCGUGGAGCUCCCCUGGAACCUUGAGCAGACUGAACAGCCCAGACCUCGGUCAGGACUCUUAGAGGGAGUGCUCGGUGCACUGUUACAAAAAGGAGGAAUCAUCAUGGUGGAAGGGCCAACUCCUGCGUUAUAGCCAGAAAACUCAGCUGCACAUGGGAGGGACCCUUAGGCCGCUUUGACCCUUAGGCCCACACCAGCGCCACUUCUCUGACUCUGCACACAGACUGGUUCAUGGGACUUUGUUAUCUAUUAUGGACCGCUUGGUUGUAGUUAAGAAAGGCCACAGGAUCAGAAGUUUCCCUCACUCCUGAAAAUGUUAGGGAAUGUUAGUAUGCAGUUUCUGCCUUUCUGACCUCACUAUGGCUCACAGCCUUUUCCCUUCAGAACCACACUAGUUGCUGCUGAGAGUUCCCAUAGUAAUUCUAAGUCACUUUUCCAUAUAGUUGUUCUGAUUAACUCCAAGUACUACAUCACUACCUGCUUCUCAAACUGGAGCAUGCGCAGCCCCAAUUCUGCGCAGAGAGGAUGCAAGACAGCGUAUCUGUGAUACAUCUUUCUGGAGCAUCAGGUUUUUUACAAGACUUGGAAAACCAAGUACUUUAUAAGAACCAUCUCUCCUCCCCACAAACAUGGAAGAAAAGAUGGAGAGGACAGGGGAGGGAAGAAGUGCCCCAGGAAAAGCAGUCCAGCCCCUGAAGUUUCACCCUGGUGGGGGCCAAGGGGCAGACCUGCAGCUAGGGUGGCCUCUCCUCGUGUCCCCCAGGCGCCUCCAGCCCGUCCUCUAAGUUCACCAAGUAUUUUGGAUAUAAUGCUUCUGAAGGCCAUGGAGGUGCCAGACACCAUUCUGAUGUGAACCCAGAGCAGAGAAUACCAAAGCGGUUUGCACACCUCCAUCGUCCACUGGACCAAAUCCUCUCGCCCGCACAUCCGUUCACAUAUAGCGUGUACUUCUUGUACAGCUCCCACUUGCAGCUGAAUGUGUCCAGCCUCUGGCCGAACUCCCACACCACAUUGCCAGGCUCUCUGGAGCUCCACAUCUUGCUCUCCAUUUAAAAUGCAGGGGUGCCGCUUGACCUCCCCACAAUCUUUGAUUUGAACCCUGCCAUGAGAUUAAAUUGGCUUCACUCUAUUGUGUUUGCCAUACUGGUUGCUGCUGAGAAGACAAAAACAGAAGCAUCUUAGAAAGUUUAAGAAUCUCCCAGCAGCCCCCCACCAGCCAGAGGGAGAGGCUGGGGUCACCCCAUCAGGCUCCCCAGUGUGGAGGGAAUUUCCAUUGCAGGUUCUCUCUGGGGCUCCUGUUGCUGGUGCUGUGGGUGGAGGAGAAGGCCCCAGGGCCACGCUGGGGGCUUGGACUCGGGGUGGGGGUCCUCGACUCCAGUCUGAGUGGGGGACUGGCAGGCUCCUGGGUGGGCUGCUGAUUUUCUGCCUCAUGGAGCCAGGUGGGUUUGGCUUUAUUGCGUUUCACUGGGAGUGCAGAGACCUUCGGCUGCACCUUGAGGCUUAGGGAGGAGCUGCAGCUCUUGGGGUGAAUGGAAGCGGAGGACCUCAUAGAGAUGGUGUGGCCCUCCAUCUUGGGUUUCUUGGAGCUCAGGAUUAGGUAUGUUGCCAUGACACUGUCAAAUCUCCUUUUCCUUAAGGAAUCCUGGAUCUUGUCCCACUCAAAGCCCAUGUCCAUCAUCACCUCUAUCACCCCGAGGUCCCUGUUGUCACAGGGCAGCUCCCCAUAAGGCCUGAGUUUCUCCUGGCCCAUAUUAACCCACGGGUCCUUCAUGAUGUCUUUUAAACUUUUUCUCUUGCUGGGGUCAAGGGUCAUCGUUUUCUUUAGGAGUUUUCUGCAUUUAAAGGAUAAGAACACAGGAAGCAGGCAUUGCCUUCUCAGUACCCUCGCUUCACUGGAGCGAAGUCGUCUCCUGGGAAAGGCCCGGCCCCAGUGAGCAUAACGUGAAGAACCACCCCAAGGCUCCAGACGUCUGCCCAGCAGCGUAGUCCUGGCAAAAGAAGACUUCCGGGUCAGUGUGACAGGAGCACCGCAGUGCAUCCUCAGCUUCCGGCCAAGGGUCACGGUGCUCAGAACAGAGUCCUCGAGCUUUACAUUCAGCUCAGCGUUCAGAAGUACGUUCUCCGGCUUCAGGUCCCUGUGGACGAUGCCUCUGUGGUGGCAGUACUGGAGGGCCGAGCUGAGCUGCCUCAGGCUGCCUCAGGCCUCCUCCUGCGUCGUGGGGCCGCGCUUUGCUACGUAAUCCGGCACGUCUCCUCUGCUAACAUGCCCCGGGAUGAGCAACGAUGUUUCCUCUGUGUCGAUGACCUCCAAUAACUUUGCGAAGUCUGGGUGAUUGCAGGCCCUUAGGGUGUAGACUUCACGGAAAAGCUUCUUGUUUCUGUAGAAGCUCUGCUGAGGCUUCUCAAUGAUUUUUACAGCCACUUCUGUCCCAGUCGGGAUUUCCCGCCCCACCUUCACUGUGGUGAAGCUCCCUUCUCCAAUGGUAUUGAGGAGCUCGUAAUUGUUAAUACGGGUCGUCUUGUUAGCAGAGGUGGCCUCGAGGCCCAGAAGCAUGUGACCUGCUAACUACACUAACUGACAAUACUAACUAACAAUGCUAACUAUGCUAACAAACAAAACUAUAGUAUGCUAAUAUUAACUAAUGAUCCUAACAAUGCCACCUAUGCUUACUAUGCUAAUAAGUAAUACUAACUAUACCAAGUAUGCUAACUAUAUUAACUAUACCAACAGUACUAACUCUACUAGCAAUACAAAAUAAAAAAUUUAAGGAGGGGCCAGCUGGGUGGUGCAGCGGUUAAGUUUGCGCAUUCUGCUUUGGGAGCCCAGGGUUUGCUGGUUUGGAUCCUGGGUGUGGACCUACACACUGCUUGUCAAGCCAUGCUGUGGUAAGCAUCCCACCUAUGAAGUAGAGGAAGAUGGGCAUUGAUGUUAGCUCAGGGCCAGUCUUCUUCAGCCAAAAAAAAAAGAAAAGUAGGAGGAUUGGUGGCAGAUGUUAGCUCAGGGCUAAUCUUCCUCAAAAAAAAAUUUAAGGAAAAUGAGAAAAAGAACCAGAAAACAAAGAAAAAAGAAAAAAUAAGAAAAGAACAAAGAAAAAUUGAGAAAAAGAGAAAAAAGUGUGAAAAAUAAAACAAGAAAAAUGAGAAAAAGACAAAAAGAAUUUUAAAAAAUGAGAAAGGAGAAUAAAAAAAUUAAAAAGAAAAUAGAGAAAAAUAAGAAAAUAAAAACAAUAGAUAAAAAAGAAAAAAUAAACAAAAUGGGAUGGAAAAAAAAAGAAAAAAGCUCACUGCGGUCCAAGUCCUACAGGUCACCAAAAAUUAGCUUCCUGGGCUGUAAGGAACAAAAACCCAAGCCCAGCCAGAGACUUUAUAGGUGUUUGUAAUUCCAUCAUGGUGGAUCCUUAUGAGCUCUGGGCAAGAAAUGGACCAAUCAUGGCAGGGGAUAAACUACAGUGUUUUUCUUACUUUUUGGUCUCAACACCCCUUUACUGUUUAAAAAACAAAAAAGGACCCCAAAGAGCUUUUUAUUUAUGUGGGAUAUUAGAGAGUGAUAUUUAUUAGAAAUUAAAAUCUGUAAGAUGCUUCAGUGGCCUUUUCAUUUCUAAUUUAAAAAUCUGUAAUAAUUUUUGGCUUUUAGAGGCCUCACAGUGUCUACACUUAAAAUAUUUAAUUCCUUGUCCUUCAACUCUGAUUAGUCUCAAAAUGAUCCCACAACUUAAAGGAUGUUAUAAUACUAUAGGAAAAUGUUCUGUUGGUGAGACACAAGAAGGGACAUCAUUGAUGUUUAUAAAGCUGAGAGGAAGAGAGCUUUCAUCAUAUUUUCCGCAGUAAGAUCACGAGCAGAUUUCUCAUCAGAAACCUUGGAGGCCAGAUGGCAUGGGUUGAUGUAUUCAAAAUGCUGAAGGAAAAAAGAAUCCAACCAAGAAUCCUAUAUCUGGCAAAACUGUCCUUCGAAAAUGAGGGGAAAUGAAGACAUUCCCGUAUAAACCAAAGCUGAGGGAGUUCUUCACACUAGACCUGCCCUCCAAGGAAGGGAGUCCUUCAGGUUGAAACAAAAGGACACUGGACAGUAACUCAAUGCCUUGGGAAGAAAUAAAUAUCUCCGGUCAAAGUAUGUGGAUGAUUAUAAAAACUAGUACUAGUGUAACUUUGGUUUGUAGCUCCACUUUUUGUUUUCUACGUUAAGAGACUAAAGUAUUAAAAAACCCAAUUAUUAGUAUAUGUUUUUGGACACACAUCCUAAAGAUGUAACUUUGUGACAUUCAUAACUGAAAUGGGGAGGAGUCAGGGCUGUAUAGGAGCUGAGUUUCUGUAUUUUACUGAAGUUAAGCUGGUAUAGAUUGACGUUAGAGUGUUACAACUUUACGAUGUUGAGUGUAAUCCCAUGGUAACCACAAAGAAAAAAGCUAUAGAAUAUAGACAAAAGAAAAUGAGAAGGUAAUUAAAUUGCCCUUUCAGUAAUUGUACAAACAAGCUACAUGGCCCUGUCAGCACAGAAAUCCCACGGGACGGCUUCUCUCACUGAACCAUCUCUGCAGAUUGCAGGAGGCCAUCCUGUGCCCCUUUCCUAUGUCUGCUGUGUCAGUGACAGUGUUAUUGAUGUUGUUUUUCAAGCUAAUUGACAGUCUGGUGCAGGAUAGUUUCUCCAGGAUGCCAUAAAGCAGUUGUCAGCUGUCUUGAAGGCUCUGGCUGUCCACAGCUCUCACCACAGCUACACAAUGCCUGCCAGGGCCACAGGCCACCUCCCAUCUCACCACAAGUGCAAAAUUAGAAAUAACACCAAUGACAAUGAUGAUGCGUGACACUCCUUACGUCCCAAGCCCUGAGCUGGGCCCUGACGCAUGUUAUUAAUGAUUUUCAAAGCAACCUAGCCGGUCCAACAUGGUCCUCACUGCAUAAAAGAUGGACUGAGGCUCCUGGAGUUUGCGUUAACUGCCACGGUCACGUGACCAGCUGGCACCAAGGCACGUUUUGAACCCAGAUUUGCUGAUUCUAUCCACUCCACCCACUCCUUGCUACGCCACGCUCCUGUCACAACGUCAACAGCCAGCAUGCAAACCAGCCUCUGUCCAUCAUGUUAGAAGUCAGGACAGAGGUUACUUGAGGGCAGGUGACGGAAACGGGCCGUGGGGGCUUGUGAGUGCUGACAACAUUUGCCUCCUGAUCCAAGUACUGGCUAUUCAUUUGGGAUAGUGUGAUUUAUGAGAAAUAAAUAUUUGGUCAUUCAGAUGAGCAAAAUAUAUUUCUUAUAUAUAUUUGGCCUUCCUCUGUGGUUCCUGGCUUACAGCUCCCAAAGCCCUUUGAAUUUUCUGAGAGAGAAAAGCAAUGGAAACAUCUUUUGUUAUAAUACUGGGUCUCUUGUCCUCCAUUCCUGAAAUUGCUUCAGAGCCAUAAAGGUGAAAUGGGUGACUUGUUAUUCAUAACAAGCCCCUUUCUACCACGAUGGGGUUUAUGUUAAUGAAGUGACUUUUAUAAAGCCCCUAAGGAUGAGGACUGGUUUCCAGGGGAACCAACCUUGAUUAUAGGGCUGGAACUUUCAGUGGUCCCCCCCCCCACCCCACCCCCC
Molecule: long non-coding RNA, 24859 nt
Filed under: Equus caballus (horse)
Lineage: Eukaryota; Metazoa; Chordata; Mammalia; Perissodactyla; Equidae
Description: lncRNA (ENSECAG00000056118.1)
Source: RNAcentral